AUGAACGCUGGCGGCGUGCCUAAUACAUGCAAGUCGAACGGGUGUAGCAAUACAUUAGUGGCGAACGGGUGAGUAACACGUUGGUGACCUGCCCUAAAGAGGGGAAUACCACUUCGAAAGGAGUGACAAAACCGCAUAAGCUAGUGCUAGUUAGAGAGGCAUUAGUAAAAGAGCGAUCUACUUUAGGAGGGGCCUGCGGCCCAUCAGCUAGUUGGUGAGGUAAAAGCCCACCAAGGCGAAGACGGGUAGGGGACCUGAGAGGGUGAUCCCCCACAAUGGAACUGAAACACGGUCCAUACACCUGCGGGUGGCAGCAGUAGGGAAUAUUGCUUAAUGGGCGAAAGCCUGAAGCAGCAACGCCGCGUGAACGAAGGAGGCCUUCGGGUCGUAAAGUUCUUUUACGUGGGAUGAGGAAGGACAGUACCACGAGAAUAAGUCUCGGCUAACUACGU
This 452-nucleotide ribosomal RNA is filed under the name uncultured bacterium. RNAcentral describes it as "bacterial SSU rRNA". It matches the Rfam family "Bacterial small subunit ribosomal RNA", at positions 29 to 506 of the family's 1533-position model. The record is from RNAcentral.